This is a non-coding RNA of Perkinsus olseni, 80 nucleotides long. NCBI's taxonomy places the organism in Eukaryota, Perkinsozoa, Perkinsida, Perkinsidae. The record is from the annotation of a GenBank genome assembly.
GUCAGUUUGGCCGAGCGGUCAAGGGCGCUUGCUUCAGGCGCUAGCCCGAAAGGGCGAGAGUUCGAAUGCUGCAGCUGAUA